This 928-nucleotide long non-coding RNA is filed under the name Homo sapiens (human). RNAcentral describes it as "non-protein coding lnc-SEMA4D-8:1". Lineage: Eukaryota; Metazoa; Chordata; Mammalia; Primates; Hominidae. The record is from RNAcentral.
UUCUUCAUCCCUUAUGGUUAUUUUUUUCUAUAAAUUUUUAAUUUUUUUCUUUUGUCUUUGUGUUCUGUAAUGACAUAGGCAUGAAUCUUAUUAAUAGAUAUAGAUUAAUAGAUAUAGAUUAUAUCUAGAUAUAUAUCUAAUCUAUAUAUAGAUAUAUUUACACACAUGUUUGUGUGUAUAUAUAUGCUAUAUAUAGAUAUAGAUGAUCUCUCUAUAUCUCUCUAUAUCUAUAUAGAGAAUAUAUAUAUAGAGAGAAUAUAUAUCUAUAUAGAGAAUAUAUAUUCUCUAUAUAGAUAUAUAUAGAAUAUAUAGAUAUAGAUUAUCUCUUUAUAUAGAUAGCUAUAUCUAUAUAUAUUCUAUAUAGAUAUCUAUAUAGAGAGAUAAUCUAUAUCUAUAGCAUAUAUAUACACAUAAACAUGUGUGUAAUAUAUAUCUAUAUCUAGAUUAGAUAUAUAUCUAGAUAUAAUCUAUAUUAAUCUAUAUCUAUAUAGAUAUAAUCUAUAUUAAUCUAUAUCUAUAUAGAUAUAAUCUAUAUCUAUUAAUAUAAAUUGUUUAACUUUUUUUUCUGUUUUCCAAAUUAUCUUCUGAGGCAGGUGUUGGUUUGCUCAUCAUGAUCUUUCUCUUCAUGGUACUGGUGUUUUUAAGAUGUCUGGCAUUCUUACACCAUGAGAUUUCAGAACAAGAGGCUGGAUGGAUUUUCCUGGGGUUGUUCUCUUCUGCUGUGAUACAUAUAGCUCUCUUUCCCUCUAGUCUGUCCCCAGUAUCAGAAGACUGACUGAGAUUAUGUGUGAAUUGUGUGUGUGGAGGUGAUGUGGGCAGAGGAUAGAGGGAAUGACAUGUGUGGGCGUGGUUUUGUCAUCUGAAGUUUAGACUUUAGGUUGAGAAGGGGAGGGGGCUUGGACUUUUAGCCUGGGUGCCUCCCAAGAGU